AUUUUUGGGUGUGGCUAUGUUUAAGUUCCUAAAAUCUAUGCACACCCUUAAUUUACCAUUCUUUUUUAGCACUGGCACGAUAUUGGACAACCACUCUAUAUAUCUGGCUGUUCUAAUAAAGUCUGCUUUUAAUAAUCGCUCUGUUUCUUUCUUAAUCUCAGGAAGUACAUUAGGAGCAAAACGUUUAGGAUGUUGUUUAUGAGGUUUAAAAUUUGGCUUGAUUGGCAAUCUAUGUUCCACCAAAUCUCUAUCUAAACCAGGCAUAUGUUCAUAUUCCCAAGGAAAACAAUCCUUAUAUUCCUUUAAUAAAGCGAUUAAUUUAUUACUAACCUCUUGAUCGAGCAUCUAGCUGACGAAUAUUGGGCGAUCUUUCCCUUCAUUGCCAAUAUUCACUUUAAUCAGAGGGUCUUGUGUUUGAGCGUAUCCAGGCUUGGUAAUCCUCAUUACUUCAUCGUCCAUUUUCCUUAUAGGCACUUCUUCUUCUAAACAAUCCACCUUGUUGACUUCUCGGCCAAUACUUUGUUCCAACUCGAACACUGUCAAUUUGCCUUCUAAUGCUUUCAAGGCUGCUUCUUUUUUCGUCUUGUCUUUAUAUUCUAUAUUGAAAGCCAUUAAUUUGGCUUUGAAGGCCUGAACAUCGGCCAUUUGCCUUUGUUGUUUACAACUCAUUUAAAACUCCUUGAUUACUUUUUUGCCAAUUACUGGCUCUUCCAGGGCCACUAUGUUUGGCCUCAUUUAACUGAACAUUUCAGUGAGUGCAUCUACUGAAAACGGCUCUUUGCUCUGUGCAACAAUUUGAGUUUCUUCUCCAUCUUGGACCACUCUAACAGGUCCGUAAUUUCCUUCGUAUAUGAACCUUUCCACUGAGUUUGCUUCUGCGACAAAAGGUCUAUAAUUUGCCUGCACCACUUCUGCUUCAACCUUGUCAUUCCAGAAAACCAGGCAUUGAUGGAGCGAUGAAGGUAUGCAGCGACUUCCGUGUAUCCAAUCCCUUCCUAAUAACACAUUGUAACUCAUUGAACCAUCUAUUACGAAGAAGACUGUGGUCCUAGUAGUUGUCCCUACAGUUAUGUCCAAUGGCAUAACCCCUUUGGCUGAAGUUGCUCCUCCAUUGAAACUUGUAAGGAUGACUUCUGUUGGAAUCACAUCACUUUCUGUCUUUGCAAAUUUCCUCAUCAUUCUAGAUGGAAUGGUGUUUAUAGCUGCUCCAUUAUCGAUAAGUACUUUUACCACAGGUAUACCGUUAACUAAAGUCUUAAUGUACAAUGGUCUCAAGUGUUUAGUUAACUUUAUGGCUGAUCUCUUAAAAAUAACCUUUUCGGCAACAUCUAUUUCCACUUCCUGCUUGUUCUAUGUUGAAUUAUCCUUUUGUGAUAAGUCAACGUGUAGUAUGUUGCACUGAGCUUCCGCUUCCUGAAUUUCCUUUUUAUUGUUUCCUAAUGCUUUUUUUUCGGUUACCCAACCUGUGGGAGGAGCCAUUAUUCUUAGAGGCGAUCCAUACUUUUCAAAGCGAGGUACUCUUUUUUUCCUCUUGGGCGUCUCGUACAACACGUAAUAAUCAAAAGAACGCCCAGAUGGUUCCCCCAACCAGUCCACUUCACGAACUCCCUCUCGAUGUAGUUGCUUCAACAGGGUAUUGUGCGAUACUCCUCUCUUUCUUCUUUCUGCUUCCAGAUCAAUUUCCUCUUCGAUGUCCGUCAUACCAUCAUCCUCUUCACCAUUGUAGGCUCCUCUAGAAGUUUGGCAUUCUUCACAUUUUAGCACACAUGCUUCUUCCUCGUUAUCCUCCCUCUCUUCUUCUUCUUUUUCUUUGUUCUUGAACUCAUUGGCUAGUAAAUAGUUAUUAGCCAUGACAAGAGGUAACGUACCGAACUGAAUAGCAAGGGAUUGAUCUGGAUCUUCUCCAUCCCUUCUACUUCGCUCAAACUUUGAUCUGCCAGAAGAACUCUCUGGCAAUUCUUCCAUCGAUUCACCUGUACCAGUCCCCUCACUGUCUUCGAGAACAUUUUGAUUGGCCACCUCGAGUAGUUUAGGCGCCUUAGGACGUGGCACUCCCUAUUGUUGCCUCAUCAUCCGUCCAUAAUUCCGUUGAAAAUGCCUUUGUUGGGUUCUAGUCAUCUCGUUGAAGGGUAUCACCCUUCCUGCAUUAUAUUGAAACGAAUGCCAUACAUUUGGUUGGCGAGGUUGCGACCUGAAUGUUCUUCCAUUAUUUAUUGACCUGAACUACCUCUUAAAAGGCGGUCCUCUAUAGAAUGAUAUACCUCGCCCUCUACCAGGCUGAGCGUUUGAGAAAAAACUAGGGCGAUGGUGAUGCUGCCACAUCCCUGGUUUCUCUUUAUUUGCACUCAUUUCUUUUUAACAUCUUGCACACAGGACUUCUUCAUCCUUUUUAGGCUCCUCCCCUUUGAUACGUUCAAAGACAUUGGGGUGUGGCCCAGGGUCCUCUUCUCCGUUAUCUAUAACCUACUUGAAUUUUAGCAACUUGUUUUUUAAACCAGUCGUCAUCAUGUUCACCCCCAAGUGGUUGUGGAAAAUGGUUUUCAUCCACUGUCAUCUUCUUCUUAUCCUCGAACAUAAUUCGUCCUGAUUCAAUGGCAUCCUAUAACACAUGGCGAAAAACGAAACAGUUGUUAGUCAAAUGUGACCAUGCAUUAUGCCACUUACAAUAUUUUUUACCCUUGAUUUGUUCAGGGCUUGGCAAGUUAUGUUUAUCGCUCAACUUUAUCUGGUUAUCCUUAUAUAGUUUAUCAAAUAUAAGGUCAGCUUUGGUUACAUCGAACGAGAACGUUCUAGCCUUUUUGCUUUCAUCUUUUAUAGGCUUAUCCUUGCCCGACGAUCUAGGCUUAGCCAUUACAGGACAAGUAUAUGCGUCUCCUUUGAUAAAUUCGCCCAAACACAUUUCGGUUUGAUCGUAAUACUCGUCAUUAAUGGUAUGAACACCAAAAUUUGGGUCUCUAUAAUAAGUUCCCUUGCUAGAAUUUUUCAUUUGCUCUUCUUCUCUUAUUAAUCGUUCAUACUUAAUCACGUUUGCGUUCAAUUGGAAAAGAUCAGAAAAUUCUCUGUCUUGAAAUUUCUUUUUCAAAUCAAAGUUCAGACAACUUUGAGCGAUUUUGACAAACUCAUUUUCGGGCAAAGGUACAAAAUAUUUACUUCUUGCUGUCUGAAACCUUUGAAGGAAACCUUUUGCCCAUUCGUUUGACACUUGACGUAGAUUCGUCAAAUCGGCCAAAGUAACUUCAGACUCAGUCUUAUAAAGCUGAGCAUGGAACAAUUGCUCCAAUUGUUGUCAUGUUUGAACAGAGUUUGCUGGCAAAUUGAUGAACCAAGAGAAAGCUACUCUUGUUAAUGAACUAGGGAACAACCUCAUUUUAUGGUAGUCGAUUACUUCACCACUUUGCAGUGUGAAUCGCCUUAUGUGUUCUAGAGUAGACACCUCUCCUAAAUCGAUAAAUAGUGAGAAUUCUGACACUUUAUACCCUCUAGGCCAUGGAUAUGCUUGGUCCACCCAAUCAGGGUAUGGCUUUGUGUACGUCGGCCUAAUGACAGAACGUGCCCCAAAAACCAUUUGAUCCUGUACUAUUUGCAUAAUUUGAUUUCUCAACAUGACGUUGAGGUCAUAUGGAAUUCCUAUAGGUUGGUUGGUCGAUUGAUUUGCCUGAGGCCUGAUGUUUGGUCCUUGGUUGACAACAAAGUUGCCAUGAUUUGGGUCAUUGUUACCAUUAGCCUGAAUAUUUAUUCCAUCACUAUUCUGAUUUGGCAUUACACCAUCCCCCUGUUUGAAGUAGGUGGACCAAAAUGUGGUUCUAUCCCCUGAUUUGGACUUAGGACUGGGGAAUUAUGUCCCACGAUUGUCCUAGUUUGAAAGUGAUUUGCAAUAGGCACAACUGGCUGACAAAUUUGGCCUACUAACUUAUUCAUUAUUUCAUUUAAUGUAUUCAGUUGUUUGGCCAUGUUGUCAUAAUGUGCAUUCCCAUUUUGGGUAAAUCUUUCCAUAUUAUGAACAUUUCGUAGAUUUACCCGUUCAAUGACAUCCUGUGUGAGUUCUUCAAGCAAUGCACGCAUGGUUCGAGAACUCAACUCUGUCAUUGGUUCGUAACGACUGUAACUACUCUGACUCUGUCCCUCUGUUCGUAGAGAGCUUUGUCGCUUCUCAUAUCGCUCGAUCACAGACUGGACUCCUCCCUGACUUGCUGCUUCCUUAUCAGAUUUGUGAGGUAUAUUGUUUCACCUUUUGUAUCUUCAAUACCAAACACCAAGGUCCCACUGGGCGUGCCAAAUUAUUUCGCGCGAGUAGUCGCUAACAAUUAAAAAAGGGAUCAGACGAUUGUGUAAGGAACAAACCUCUUGAAACGAAAUCUCAAAAAGGGGUGUUUUAUUGACGAUGAUUUAUGAUUGGAAAUAAACAGAAUGCCUCCAAGAGGCGCAAGCACAUGAGUACUAAAAGAAAUGUUUAAGUUUAAACUUAGAAAUCGAAAUGACAUAUUCUCUGUUUGAGAGUAUUUGAUUCGGGUUCCUUUUCUCUAUGUCUUCUCUUCCUUUUAUAUUCCCUCGAUUAUAUUUUUCGUGGCAAACCGCUUGGAAACUGCUUGAUUGCUGUAUAAUUACCCACUUUCUUUAUGGUGGCUAAUCUAUCGUGGAACUGCCGUCUCUAACUGUUGACAUUACUCUUUGUCGUUCAACCGCCUUCAACUGGGCUCCUUGAUUCGUGAACUGUGAUAAGAUCACUCAAUAACUAUUUCAACAACUGCUAUUCUGGAUAGCUAUAAUGUUUUAUGCUUGCUAAGAUCCUGGGCGAUUCGAAGGUUUGGACGAGAACGAGGUCAUCACUCUGGGCGACUGUAAGGUACUCCAUUCGCUCAGAUUCUGGGCGUCUUGCAAGUUUGGGCGAUGAUAUUACCGUGUUCGUGAGCUUCCAUCGCAUUCCUCAAUAAUCCUGUUUGGACCUUUAUUCUGGACUCCCCAAUUGGACUUCACUCUUUGGGCUAUUUGAUUUGGGCUGCACUUUCAGUGUGUCAACAGUUUCUAACCAACAUGAGACUUUAAACAAUCCUAUUGUAAGUGAAACACUCAAAAUUAUUCAAAUUGGACAAUACCAAGUCAAAAUCAUCCGAUCAUGCCACUUAAGAAUUUAUGUGAACCUUUUGAUUAACUGCCACAGUUCUCAAAAUGACCAAGGGCAGAUGGACACUAAAUUACCUUAAAUCUUAUAGUUAAACGAGGUUUAAAUAUCCAAUUUGACUAAAAAUUCAACAUUUUCACGAAAUAAAUACAAUUUAUGAAAUAAUUUAAGCAAUUUAAAAUAGUGGACGUACUUGAUGCAACCAAGUUUUCUUUUUAAGAAUUAUAGGGAUUUUUCGUAGUUCAGUGUUACAUCCCACUCCUUUAUAGUCAAAGUUAAAGUCAAAGUCAAAGUCAAUAAGAACUUAAGUUGAAUAAAUUAUUCUAUUGGGGCUUAAUUGAUUAUGAAAAAUAUUUUGAGGAUUUAAGUAGUCAAAGUUAAAGUCAAAGUCAAAGUCAAAGUCAAUAAGAACUUAAGUUGAAUAAAUUAUUCUAUUGGGGCUUAAUUGAUUAUGAAAAAUAUUUUGAGGAUUUAAGAUGGAUAAAAUUUAAUUUGAGGAUAUACUUAUAUAGUAUUGAAAGAUAAGGAUUUAAUGUGAUUUUAUAUGAAGGUUGGAGGACUUGUUUUGCAAUUAUGAGUUAGUGCCACUAAAUAUUAAAUAAAUAGCCUUUUUUUUUUCAUUUGGAGAUAGAUACAAAAAUGAAAAAUGGGUAGAGAAGCUGAGAGAAGGAGAGAAGAAUUGAGAAGGAGGUAGAGAAGGAAAGAAGAGAGAGAAAGAAAAGGGGGAAGACAAAAAAAGGGGUGGAAAAAGAAAAUGAAAAAGAUAUUAUUGAAGAAGAUGAUAUAUGGAUUCAAAUACAAGGUUCAUCCUUUCUUCUAUUCUAUUCCAAGAGGUAAGAAAAACUCAUUGUUAUUCAAUAUUGUUAGAUUUGGGUUUGUAAUUAGUGGUUAGCUUCAAAGAUGUGGAGGAAAGAAUAGAUAUUGGAGUUGAAUAUAUGUUAAAGUAAUAUGAAAUGGGUUUGUAAAUUAAAGUCUAAAUCUUUAUAUUUAUAGUGUACAUGAUAUAAAACAAUUGAUUUAUGAGGUAUUACAAUGAGAUAUGGAGUUGAGGUUGGAUUUUGGUAUUUUUUUAAACUAAUUUUCGGGCAAAAUUAAUGCAUAGUGCUAUUUUUGAAAUUCUGGUGAGAAAGUAUCAUUUCUGUCAAUGAUUUUGGUGGCAGAUUUCAAUAUGCAGAAAUUGGUGCCAUUUUUCUAUAUUCCGGAAUUUUAGUGCCAUUUUUGUCAAACCUUGGAUUUCCAAAAUUUUAAAGGUUUGAAUGAACUUAUAUGACAAAUAUUGAAGUCUAUGUGUUGAACUAACUAUUUAUAGGGGUUUUAUAUGUAUUAAGGUAGUGAUUUUAAGGAAGUGUGAGUGGUGUAAUAAAUUUGAUGGUUUAUGGUGAUUAGUUGAUAAAUCAUUAAAGAGAAGAAAAGUUGGGGAAAUGGGGAUGUAAAAAUAAAUAUAGAAAUUGAGAAGUUAAGAGGUGGAUUUGUAUUAAUUUAAUUGUCAUAUUUAAAUUUGAGAAAUUAUACCUCUGUUUCAGGUAAGGACGUGAAAGUUUGGAAAGACUUGUCAAUUUAAUCAGAUUUCUAAUUAUAGAUCAAUGAGUGGAAAAAUAUAAAUAUUUUUAAAAUAUUUAUAAAUUAAGUAUAUUGUUAAAGUAUGUGCAAUAUAUGCAAUUAUGUGUUCGAAUUAUAUGAUUAUUAUGGAAAUAUCUUUUAGUAUGAUAUAUGUGGAAUUUCAAAGAUUGUAUACAAUACAUUGUGAAUUGGAAUAUAAGAUGUGAUUUUGAGAUCGACCAGAAAAGUACUCGUGAUUAUAUAUUUCUUCUAGUUCACCGAGAGGUCUUGGCCGUGUUCUAUACUGCACGGAGGGAUCUUGGACUGGGGAUCAAGGGGUCUCGACUGUGUACAAAUAGUUCACUGAGGAGUCUUGGCCGUAUUCUAGAAUUGAUUAUGAGAGAUCUUGAGACCGACUUUCAUUCGCGGAGGGGGCCAAAGGCCCGUGGCGAAAGUUCUUAGCCCGAUGGACGGAUUAUAGAUUUUAGUCAGAGAAUACAUUUUUGGUGGAUCACAUGUGAUGUGAUUAGAUGAUGGUAUAGAUAUCAGCUGAUGAUUAUAUCGUGGAUAUGAGAUGAUAUUUACAUAGUUAUGAGAAUGUCUCUUUUUUUGCUACUAUCGUGUGAAUUACUAAACAAUAUGAACUUGAUGUUGGAUAAAAAUGUUUAAAUGAGAAAGUAUAAUUAUUUUCGAACUCUUCCACUCACUGAACUAUAAACUCAUAUUUUUCCACGAUUUCUCUUACAAGUAGUAUUGGUCUCUGAUAGCUUGAGGAGCCUGGUGGUUUUAGAAUUAGAGCCACAUGACAUAUUGAGUGAUACGAUUCAUUUUGGUAAAACAUGAAGUAAU
This 7507-nucleotide long non-coding RNA is filed under the name Olea europaea subsp. europaea. The record is from RNAcentral. Lineage: Eukaryota; Viridiplantae; Streptophyta; Magnoliopsida; Lamiales; Oleaceae.